CAGCAGCCGCCGCGAUAAUACGUAGGUGGCAAGCGUUGUCCGGAUUUAUUGGGCGUAAAGCGAGCGCAGGCGGUCAAUUAAGUCUGAUGUGAAAGCCCCCGGCUCAACCGUGAAGGGUCAUUGGAAACUGUUAAACUUGAGUGCAGGAGAGAAAAGUGGAAUUCCUAGUGUAGCGGUGAAAUGCGUAGAUAUUAGGAAGAACACCAGUGGCGAAGGCGACUUUCUGGACGAAAACUGACGCUGAGGCGCGAAAGCCAGGGGAGCGAACGGGACUAGAUACCCCCGUAGUCCCUGUCUCUUAUAC
Molecule: ribosomal RNA, 304 nt
Filed under: uncultured bacterium
Lineage: Bacteria
Description: partial 16S ribosomal RNA
Rfam family: Bacterial small subunit ribosomal RNA
Source: RNAcentral